AGUGAACGCUGGCGGCAGGCCUAACACAUGCAAGUCGAACGGCAGCACAGAGGAGCUUGCUCCUUGGGUGGCGAGUGGCGGACGGGUGAGGAAUACAUCGGAAUCUGCCUAUUUGUGGGGGAUAACGUAGGGAAACUUACGCUAAUACCGCAUACGACCUACGGGUGAAAGCGGAGGACCUUCGGGCUUCGCGCAGAUAGAUGAGCCGAUGUCGGAUUAGCUAGUUGGCGGGGUAAAGGC
Molecule: ribosomal RNA, 240 nt
Filed under: uncultured bacterium
Lineage: Bacteria
Also listed under: 1 other name
Description: partial 16S ribosomal RNA
Rfam family: Bacterial small subunit ribosomal RNA
Source: RNAcentral